This 173-nucleotide unclassified non-coding RNA is filed under the name uncultured Xylariales. RNAcentral describes it as "sequence contains ITS2". Lineage: Eukaryota; Fungi; Ascomycota; Sordariomycetes; Xylariales. The record is from RNAcentral.
AGUCCACUUAAGCCCUGCUUAGUAUUGGGAACCUACUGAAGAAGCUACCCUGUAGCUACCCUGUAGUUCCUUAAAGACAGCGGCGGAGUUGCGGUAUCCUCUGAGCUUAGUAAUUUUUUUCUAGCUUUCGAGUUGUCACUGCUUCUGCCGUUAAACACCCUUCUUCUGAAUGG